UGCCUUCAUGAUGAGUAUAAAAUGACAAGCAUAUGGCUGAAUUGCAGUGGUGUCAUCUUACUACUGAGGAA
This 71-nucleotide small nucleolar RNA is filed under the name Nannospalax galili (Upper Galilee mountains blind mole rat). Its description in RNAcentral is "Small nucleolar RNA SNORD27 (ENSNGAG00000001693.1)". It matches the Rfam family "Small nucleolar RNA SNORD27". Rfam says of the family: U27 is a member of the C/D class of snoRNA which contain the C (UGAUGA) and D (CUGA) box motifs. U27 is encoded within the U22 snoRNA host gene (UHG) in mammals and is thought to act as a 2'-O-ribose methylation guide for ribosomal RNA. Lineage: Eukaryota; Metazoa; Chordata; Mammalia; Rodentia; Spalacidae. The record is from RNAcentral.